CCUACGGGUGACUGCAGUGGGGAAUAUUGGUCAAUGGACGCAAGUCUGAACCAGCCAUGCCGCGUGCAGGAAGACGGCUCUAUGAGUUGUAAACUGCUUUUGUACGAGGGUAAACUCAGAUACGCGUAUCUAUCUGCACGUGUCGUACGAGUAAGGCUCGGCUAACUCCGUGCCAGCAGCCGCGGUAAUACGGAGGGUUCAAGCGUUAUCCGGAUUUAUUGGGUGUAAGGGGUGCGUAGGCGGUCGGAUAAGUCAGAGGUGAAAUCCCGCGGCUCAACCCCGGAACUGCCUCUGAAACUGUUGGGCUGGAGAGUAGGUGAGGUAGGCGGAAUGGCUGGUGUAGCGGUGAAAUGCGUAGAGAUUAGAAAGAACACCAGUGGCGAAGGCAGCUUACUAAGCU
This 400-nucleotide ribosomal RNA is filed under the name uncultured bacterium. Its description in RNAcentral is "partial 16S ribosomal RNA". It matches the Rfam family "Bacterial small subunit ribosomal RNA", at positions 338 to 735 of the family's 1533-position model. The record is from RNAcentral.